CUCCGCGCCGCCGCCCAUCUCCUCUGCCACCAUGUCUCUCUGCCGGGCCGCCUCGCUGGCGCUGGCCUCCCGCCUGAGCAGGGCUCCCGCCGCCGCCAGCCGCCUCAAGCAGCGUGCACCUCCUCGCCAGAUGUCAUCUGGGAGUGUUCCUGGCUCUUCUGGAGACAGGAUGACGAUCUAUCUCCUUGCUGGUGUUGCAGCUUUUGGUGGUUUAUUUUAUGCCUACAGAGUAGUCAAUUCAUCCCACAGCAAGUUUAUCAAACAUACAAAUAUUCUUCAUGAGAGAGCAGAGGGGCAGAAGAACAAUCCUUGGUCAAGGAAGGAAGGUGAUGGAGAAGAGACAGAUGAAGUCACUGAAGCAGAGGCUGAGGAAGAGGCUGAUACAGCAGCUGCUGUUGAACCUUCAGCACAGGAUGAGAGUGCUGGACCCACAGCACAGGAUGAGACUUCCAGGGUAUCCGCAGAAGCUAAAGGGGAAAAUGACUUACUGGCUCCAGAGGUAUCCCAUGCUAUGGAGGAAGCACAGCAGGAAGCUGCUGCUAAUUCGGAAGCUGCUGCUAAUUUGGAACUUGCUGCUAAUUCAGAAGCUGCUGCAGUUGAAGUUUCUGAGGAGAAGACAAUGGAAGAAGUUGCUAAAGAGCACUAAAGGUACACAGCACAGUUGCAGCAUGUGUAAGCAGUGUGGAUGCGUCUGGAAAGUUUAAUGCAAAUAUUUGUGGCAAUCAACCAGCUGAUUCCUGUGUGAAACCUCAUACUCUUCUUUGAAGACAUAAAAGAAACUGUGCAGUUUGUCCUACUACACACUGGUUAUUACAGCCAGUAUUCAGUGCUGCAAGAGAUGAUUUAUGUGGCUUAGAGAAACGCUUCUGUGAUUAACACCUCUGCUGUAGAAAGUAGCAUUCAUCAAGCCACUCAGUAUGUCCUAAAUAAAUGUGCUAAGAGAAGCA
Molecule: long non-coding RNA, 947 nt
Filed under: Cyanistes caeruleus (blue tit)
Lineage: Eukaryota; Metazoa; Chordata; Aves; Passeriformes; Paridae
Description: lncRNA (ENSCCEG00000023463.1)
Source: RNAcentral